CCUACGGGAUGCAGCAGUGGGGAAUAUUGGGCAAUGGGCGAAAGCCUGACCCAGCAACGCCGCGUGAAGGAAGAAGGCUUUCGGGUUGUAAACUUCUUUUGACAGGGAAGAGGAGAGUACGGUUCCUGUCGAAUUAGCCACGGCUAACUACGUUCCAGCAGCCGGGGUAAUACGUAGGUGGCAAGCGUUUUCCGGAUGUGCUGGGGGUAAAGGGCGUGUAGCCGGGCUGACAAGUCAGAUGUGAAAUCCGGGGGCUCAACCCCCGAACUGCCUCUGAAACUGUUGGGCUUGAGUAUCGGAGAGGCAGGUGGAAGUCCUAGUGUAGCGGUGAAAUGCGUAGAGAUUAGGAGGAACACCAGUGGCGAAGGCGGCCUGCUGGACGACAACUGACGGUGAGGCGCGAAAGCGUGGGGAGCAAACAGGAUUAGAUACCCGAGUAGUC
RNAcentral lists this ribosomal RNA (442 nucleotides) under uncultured bacterium. RNAcentral's name for it is "partial 16S ribosomal RNA". It matches the Rfam family "Bacterial small subunit ribosomal RNA", at positions 338 to 795 of the family's 1533-position model. The record is from RNAcentral.